AUACGGAGGGGGCUAGCGUUGUUCGGAAUUACUGGGCGUAAAGCGCACGUAGGCGGAUUAAAAAGUUAGAGGCGAAAUCCCAGGGCUUAACCCUGGAACUGCCUUUAAAACUAGUAGUCUAGAGUUCGAGAGAGGUGAGUGGAAUUCCAAGUGUAGAGGUGAAAUUCGUAGAUAUUUGGAGGAACACCAGUGGCGAAGGAGGCUCACUGGCUCGAUACUGACGCUGAGGUGCGAAAGAGUGGGGAGCAAACAGGAUUAGAAACCCUAGUAGUCC
RNAcentral lists this ribosomal RNA (274 nucleotides) under uncultured bacterium. RNAcentral's name for it is "partial 16S ribosomal RNA". It matches the Rfam family "Bacterial small subunit ribosomal RNA", at positions 523 to 796 of the family's 1533-position model. The record is from RNAcentral.